GAUGAACGCUGGCGGCGUGCCUAAUACAUGCAAGUCGAGCGAACAGACGAGGAGCUUGCUCCUCUAACGUUAGCGGCGGACGGGUGAGUAACACGUGGAUAACCUACCUAUAAGACUGGGAUAACUUCGCGAAACCGGAGCUAAUACCGGAUAAUAUAUUGAACCGCAUGGUUCAAUAGUGAAAGACGGUUUUGCUGUCACUUAUAGAUGGAUCCGCGCCGCAUUAGCUAGUUGGUAAGGUAACAGCUUACCAAGGCAACGAUGCGUAGCCGACCUGAGAGGGUGAUCGGCCACACUGGAACUGAGACACGGUCCAGACUCCUACGGGAGGCAGCAGUAGGGAAUCUUCCGCAAUGGGCGAAAGCCUGACGGAGCAACGCCGCGUGAGUGAUGAAGGUCUUCGGAUCGUAAAACUCUGUUAUUAGGGAAGAACAAAUGUGUAAGUAACUAUGCACGUCUUGACGGUACCUAAUCAGAAAGCCACGGCUAACUACGUG
RNAcentral lists this ribosomal RNA (497 nucleotides) under uncultured bacterium. RNAcentral describes it as "partial 16S ribosomal RNA". It matches the Rfam family "Bacterial small subunit ribosomal RNA", at positions 28 to 507 of the family's 1533-position model. The record is from RNAcentral.